CUCCAUGUGUAGCGGUGGAAUGCGUAGAUAUAUGGAAGAACACCAGUGGCGAAGGCGGCUGUCUGGUCUGCAACUGACGCUGAGGCUCGAAAGCAUGGGUAGCGAACAGGAUUAGAUACCCUGGUAGUCCAUGCCGUAAACGAUGAGUGCUAGGUGUUGGAGGGUUUCCGCCCUUCAGUGCCGGAGCUAACGCAUUAAGCACUCCGCCUGGGGAGUACGACCGCAAGGUUGAAACUCAAAGGAAUUGACGGGGGCCCGCACAAGCGGUGGAGCAUGUGGUUUAAUUCGAAGCUACGCGAAGAACCUUACCAGGUCUUGACAUCUUGCGCUAACCUUAGAGAUAAGGCGUUCCCUUCGGGGACGCAAUGAC
This 370-nucleotide ribosomal RNA is filed under the name uncultured Lactobacillus sp. Its description in RNAcentral is "bacterial SSU rRNA". It matches the Rfam family "Bacterial small subunit ribosomal RNA", at positions 667 to 1035 of the family's 1533-position model. The record is from RNAcentral. Lineage: Bacteria; Bacillati; Bacillota; Bacilli; Lactobacillales; Lactobacillaceae.